GUAGGGAAUAUUGGACAAUGGGGGCAACCCUGAUCCAGCAAUGCCGCGUGAGUGAUGAAGGCCUUAGGGUUGUAAAGCUCUUUUACCCGGGAUGAUAAUGACAGUACCGGGAGAAUAAGCCCCGGCUAACUCCGUGCCAGCAGCCGCGGUAAUACGGAGGGGGCUAGCGUUGUUCGGAAUUACUGGGCGUAAAGCGCACGUAGGCGGCGAUUUAAGUCAGAGGUGAAAGCCCGGGGCUCAACCCCGGAACUGCCUUUGAGACUGGAUUGCUAGAAUCUUGGAGAGGCGGGUGGAAUUCCGAGUGUAGAGGUGAAAUUCGUAGAUAUUCGGAAGAACACCAGUGGCGAAGGCGGCCCGCUGGACAAGUAUUGACGCUGAGGUGCGAAAGCGUGGGGAGCAAACAGGAUUAGAUACCCGUGUAGUCC
Molecule: ribosomal RNA, 425 nt
Filed under: uncultured bacterium
Lineage: Bacteria
Description: bacterial SSU rRNA
Rfam family: Bacterial small subunit ribosomal RNA
Source: RNAcentral